CAGCAGCCGCGGUAAUACGUAGGUCCCGAGCGUUGUCCGGAUUUAUUGGGCGUAAAGCGAGCGCAGGCGGUUUGAUAAGUCUGAAGUUAAAGGCUGUGGCUCAACCAUAGUUCGCUUUGGAAACUGUCAAACUUAAGUGCAGAAGGGGAGAGUGGAAUUCCAUGUGUAGCGGUGAAAUGCGUAGAUAUAUGGAGGAACACCGGUGGCGAAAGCGACUCUCUGGUCUGUAACUGACGCUGAGGAGCGAAAGCGUGGGGAGCGAACAGGAUUAGAUACCCCAGUAGUCCCUGUCUCUUAUACA
This 301-nucleotide ribosomal RNA is filed under the name uncultured bacterium. Its description in RNAcentral is "partial 16S ribosomal RNA". It matches the Rfam family "Bacterial small subunit ribosomal RNA", at positions 509 to 808 of the family's 1533-position model. The record is from RNAcentral.